Molecule: long non-coding RNA, 1065 nt
Organism: Astyanax mexicanus (Mexican tetra)
Lineage: Eukaryota; Metazoa; Chordata; Actinopteri; Characiformes; Acestrorhamphidae
Exons: 4
Source: RefSeq, a predicted model, not a curated record
CGCCUCCCCCGUGCUGUGAUUGGACAGCGGUUUAAGCGUCGGGAUUGGCUGGUCUUUCUUUCACACUAAUAUGUAUAGCUGAGCCAGGCUUUGACAUUUGCUUGUCAGAGCAGACAGCCAAUCGUAUAGCUCAGAAAACCGAGAAGAAUAACCAAUCAGAAAAAGGCAAAGGAUAGAGCGAGAAAAAUGAAAAACGAAAACAGGUGGGAAACGAAAAAACCGUAUCCUCCACAGUGACGUCAGAACUGAAGAGCGAGCGCGAGCAGCAUCCCCGUUCGUUAAAUAAACGCUAAGCUAAAAAUCCUGCACCAAGGUUUUCUUCUGUACAAAGAUACAGAAGAAGAAAAAAUUAGCCCCUCAAGCCCCACAGAUUCGCAGUAAGGAGCAUUGUGUUCACUAGCUGGUCACUAAAUCAACGCGUUUGACCGAUUUAGAGCGAAAGAGCGACUGAGAGGAAGAGAGGAAUCACGACAAGGUGUUCCAGAAAGGAGUUCCCUCCCAUCCUGUAGUAAAUCCGGACCCCCGAAGAAUCUUCAAGAACCGGAGCUAAAUGGCCGCCAUUUCCUUAGGAAUCCCCAAGGAUAACCAGAUGCACCUGUAGCAAGGUUCUUACACCACAAUCUGGGGAGGAGGCGGUGGGACAGACAGCUCCCUCCAAUAAAUUAAAAUCAGCCUAAGGGUCAUAGUGGGUUCAGAGCCUACCUGCUAUCAUUAGGAGCAAGACAGCAGCAAUAGCUUCCGGAGAGUGCGCCAAUCCACUGCAGCCUUGAAAACUAUGAAGGACAACUAAAGAGCACAAACACAAAAUUCUUUCCUUGGGAGAAAAAAGGAGCUCUUUGCUGUGGAACAAAAUGUUCUGGGCAGAUGAAACCAAGAAUCAUUUGUGUACAAAUGGAAAAAGACCAAAACAUACUGCAAAAGCAUCCAAACAGCAUCUAAAAAAACUAAUGGAAUAUUCUUACCUGACCUCAACCCAUACAGAGCAUGUUUUUCACUGAUGUCUCUACUGAGGACAAAAAUGAAAUAACUGAAGGCCACAAUAAAAGCCUGACAAAGUAUCUUAAA